UACGAAGGGGGCUAGCGUUGCUCGGAAUUACUGGGCGUAAAGCGCACGUAGGCGGCUUCUUAAGUCGGGGGUGAAAUCCUGGAGCUCAACUCCAGAACUGCCUUCGAUACUGGGAAGCUCGAGUCCGGGAGAGGUGAGUGGAACUGCGAGUGUAGAGGUGAAAUUCGUAGAUAUUCGCAAGAACACCAGUGGCGAAGGCGGCUCACUGGCCCGGUACUGACGCUGAGGUGCGAAAGCGUGGGGAGCAAACAGG
RNAcentral lists this ribosomal RNA (253 nucleotides) under uncultured bacterium. Its description in RNAcentral is "partial 16S ribosomal RNA". It matches the Rfam family "Bacterial small subunit ribosomal RNA", at positions 524 to 776 of the family's 1533-position model. The record is from RNAcentral.